UACACAAAUCCAAAGUAUAGCAGCUCCACUUCGGUCUCUUCAAUCCCAGAUCAUUAUUCCUGAAAUCUUACAAAAUCAGCAAUUAACAACGACCCAGCGAGGACCGACAGGUGGUGACCAACCGAGAGGAACAAACGAGACUAUACGAUGAUAUCCGAGAGGACGAACGAUCGACAGGCGACGAGGAGAGACGAAAUCCGACAGACAGACCGAGCGAUGAACCGAGAGGACAACCGACUGACCAAUGACGAGGAGAGACAAUAUCCGACAGAGAAUCGAACUGAAAUUAUAUGGCUUCAGCUGCAUUCAUCAAGCCUCUCCCUGUAAUAGAGUUUGUUACACAGCUUCUAGGCAAUGAUGUGUUGUGUAGGACAUUAUAUGAUUCUGCUUGUGUGAAGCAAUUUGACAGAUCAAUAACGCACGCACUAAUAAAGGUUUCAGACCCUUAAUGCAGUUUACUGAUGAAGAUAUUAAGCAGAACCUGUCAAGUUUGCUCGAGUACUGGAAACAUCAAUUGCUGUUAAGUUGCCAUAUAUUUUACCAGGACCAAAUAUUAAUCAUCACCUGUCUGAAAGCUUUGCAUUAGCCCAUCCCUUUAUUGGAAAAAGAAAAGAAUAUAGGCCUACGCUGAUUACUCACCAAAGUAUAACGAAAGGCUUGUGAAUCCUUCUCUGUCUUCCUUAGCUUUGUGUGUAUGUGACUGUUAGAGCCAAGGCAUAUGUGAGGAAGAAAGAUAGGAAGGGAGCAACUAUGAGGACAUAUGGCAGCAACCUAGGAGGGAUAAGUGUCAAGCAGCAGGAAAAAGUGAAGGCAACCAACCACUACUAACCCAGUGAAGGUGCAACAGGGAAGCAACUAAAGCAGGGGACCACCAAGAUACUGAAUUCUGAGGAGGCAAUCCGGGAUUGGAGAGACAGUUGUGAGGAGAGAGGCAAGGAUAUGGGCCUGGAGAGGAAGGAAGAGAGGGCGGGCAGAAAUUGAGAAGAAAAACUGAAUGGGAGAGACCCAGCCUUUCAAAUGCUGGAUGAGUUGUUGAAGUCCUUUUUUUUUGGUUUGUUUCCAGUUAGUACGUAAAAAGAAUCAAACAGUGGAAAAAGAACUAUUGUAUUUCAUUUCCAGAAAAAUCACUCAAUACACAUUCUCAGUUAAUUUCA
Long non-coding RNA from Mangifera indica (mango), 1154 nucleotides. RefSeq lists it as uncharacterized. The record is from RefSeq and is a predicted model, not a curated record. NCBI's taxonomy places the organism in Eukaryota, Viridiplantae, Streptophyta, Magnoliopsida, Sapindales, Anacardiaceae. The transcript has 4 exons.